This 2393-nucleotide long non-coding RNA is filed under the name Nicotiana tabacum (common tobacco). Its description in RNAcentral is "long non-coding RNA (NTAB_LNC005306)". Lineage: Eukaryota; Viridiplantae; Streptophyta; Magnoliopsida; Solanales; Solanaceae. The record is from RNAcentral.
UCUGUGAAUUAGUGAACCCUGACGCUGCACUCCCGUCCUCUGAUCCACUUUGACUAUCUGGCGAUGCCUCCGCCUUAACAGCAAGUGGAUACACAUCCGCCUCGCCAUCUUUGGACAAUUCUGCUUCUUCAAACAUUGAAAGAUCAAUGCCGGUUCCGGAGGGUUGCCUAAACUUCUGAGCUAAACCUUUUUGAAACUCAAAAGUUACUGGCGGAAGCACGCUUUCCUUCAUAGGAGUCAAGCAACAAUCUUCACCUUCUUUCGCAAAGAAAAUGACAGUCAUGCUGCAAGAGGAAAAAGAUCAAGAAAUACGUUUAGUUAUCUCACGUUGAAAGCACUUCCGUGCCACUUGAGUCAAUAAUAUGUUACCAAGCAGAAGCAGUAACAAAUGACUACAAUUUUCAAUAACAAACAAGCACAAAGCAACUACUUUCAUUAUUCUGACAUGAGUGUCCUAGAAACUGCAAGCAUAUCAGGGCUCGUUCCUUGUAAAUACUAUCUCACAUUUGAUAAAAUUCCUUCGUUUAAUAAGUCCCACAGUCGUCAACAUUGUCGGUUCUACUCCUAAGAGUCAGCAACAGAUGCUGAAGACUGAGAAGUGAGUAAAGCUCCCACACGACCGACAAAGAAAAAGCAACUACCUUCCUUAUUAAUUCCCUUGGUGACAAAUAGCACCUUUAGUGAUCCCUUGUUAAUGUACUGUCAACUGCAAGCAUAUCAGAUCUCAACCUUCGGGUAUUACAGUCUCAACUUUCAGUAUGAAACACCAUUAUGGAACAUUUAGACAUGCGAGACAAAUAUAUGAUAAAUUCAGUCUAUGAAGUAACUGAUUCCAGUAUAUUACUAUCAUUUUAGAAAAACAAAAAUCCAGUUGAUGAUUAAAUUACUCCAAAUCUCAAAUGAUACUCUAUUUAUUUAUUUAUUGUAAAUAUAUAUCUCAAGAUGAGAUUCUAUGGAUCAUUUUUACAGCGAGGGAUAGCUGUAACAAAGAUAUCAACUGCCUCUUUGAGGUCUGACGCUACUACAUAAAGAUACAGGAUAUGCUGGCAAAACAAUUCUUACCAUCUUCCAUUCGUUUUCAUCACAAAAAAAAAAACCAAUAAUUCAUAUUAGUCAAGCAUACAGUAUUGCCCAUCAGAAAAAUAAUGCAAAUACAGAUGGAGUAGAAGACAAAGUUACUGAUUACUACUUUGAACAUCAGUGCUUAAAAGGAGACCCUUCAAAUUAUUGUAUACUGAGUAAUUAUUAAUUAGACCCAAACGCUUAUUCAAAUGACCCAAAGUAGUACUAAAUCACGCUCUACGAGAUGAUCAAAGAUCAGCAGAACUUUCUCAUUUAUUAUAUUUAUUUUUAAAUAUACACAUUUUUCUAGUCUUCCAAGGUUGUUAUAGAGAUUGCUGGACUAGCAACCGAAAAAAUUCCGUCACCGUCCGAGACCGAAUUAAAUUUACUGAUCAGGUUUCCAAAUUCUCUCUCAACAAAGUAUGAAUCUGCAGCUAUGAUAUUGGUGAUUGUCAAAAGGUUGCCUCACAGAAUCCAUGAGUAUAAAUGAAUCCCUAGCAAACUCAACAAUCCUCAUCCUCUUAGUAUUUGUAUAAGUUCCUAAACUAAUGAAUGAUUAGAAAGUUCAAAACUUUCUUGGAAUAAAAUAAAUCUACUAUACCUCUCCCUCCGUCCAAACUUUAAACAGACAUUGAUCCCAGAUGGAACGAAAAUUUUAAGAUGUUCGACACCAUUCUACUGAAAAUUUUAUCCUAUAAAUAAAUCCCUAGAAAACUCAAUAAUUCUUAUCCUCUUGGUUGUCUGCUAUAUGAAUCCUUAAUGACCAUGCUACUCCAUUUAAAUUCAUCUCAGGCCAAUUUGCAUAAAUUUCACAAAAAAACAGACAUGAAAAAUGAAAAAAAGACAAUUUUUUUUAAAAAUAUUUAAUAAGCAGUACCUCCCAGGAACAGUGGCAUCAAACGUGAAAGCCACAAGGUAUUUGCCAGGGUUAUCUUCAUCAGGCUCAAUCCUUAGAGUCUCCUUCUUCAAAUUAACAUCAUUUCUUAUUGUCACAGCUUUUUGAUGCUCCACAUAUGGAGCAGGCGGAGGCAUCAUAGGUCCACAUGGGUACCGACCCGGCCCGUUAACCCAAUUAGCAUGACCCGGGUGAUUGUCCAUCCUAUGAUGAUGAUCAUAUGGAGCCGGUAACGGCACCGGCAUCGCCGGCGGCGGUGGCGGAUAGUAACCCGGGUAUUGAUAAUACGGCGGAGCAUUAGGGUUUGGGUAUUGUGCAGGAUAAGGCGUUGCCGCCGCGAACACGUAACGGUUCGCGCUUAUCUCCGGCUGCGGCGGUUGUGGUGGCGGUGGCGGUGGUGGGUGGCUCCUCCGGCUACUGCUCCGUCGCCGGCCGU